UACGGGAAGGCAGCAGUGGGGAAUAUUGCACAAUGGGCGAAAGCCUGAUGCAGCUAUGCCGCGUGUAUGAAGAAGGCCUUAGGGUUGUAAAGUACUUUCAUCGGGGAGGAAAAACAAAACUAAUAAUUUUAUUUCUUGACGUUACCCGAAAAAGAAGCACCGGCUAACUCCGUGCCAGCAGCCGCGGUAAUACGGAGGGUGCUAGCGUUAAUCAGAAUUACUGGGCGUAAAGAGCACGUAGGUGGUUUUUUAAAGUCAGAUGUGAAAUCCCUGGGCUUAACCUAGGAACUGCAUUUUGAAACUGAAAUACUAGAGUAUCGUAGAGGGAGGUAGAAUUCUAGGUGUAGCGGUGAAAUGCGUAGAUAUCUGGAGGAAUACCUGUGGCGAAAGCGGCCUCCUAAACGAAUACUGACACUGAGGUGCGAAAGCGUGGGGAGCAAACAGGGAUUAGAUACC
This 456-nucleotide ribosomal RNA is filed under the name uncultured bacterium. RNAcentral describes it as "bacterial SSU rRNA". It matches the Rfam family "Bacterial small subunit ribosomal RNA", at positions 340 to 786 of the family's 1533-position model. The record is from RNAcentral.